GCACCGAGUCAGUGUACCGUGACCUUGAGCUCUUGCUCGCCUCCUCCAGACCAGCUCACAAAAUAUUGUCUUUCUAACAGAGGCAGGAGGAACACAAACCUGGACCAUUCUUCCUUGUGGAAUCUUAAUUCUUAUUUUCACUUCCUUCUUGAGCUGGGGCCGGGAAGGGAGAGCUGAGCUUCCUCAGGGCUUCUGAAAGCUGGGAAAUGGUUAUUGUCAGAAGCGGCCCCUCUUGAGGGAGCUCACCUGCAGGGGGAGUGGCCACAUCUGGCACUAAUUCAUUCAACAGACUUCAGCUGCAUGUUAGAGGCCGUGAUGGAUGCUCCAGGGGAUGAAGGCAACCAAGACAGACUCUGCCUUCAAGGAGCUGUAGCCAGUUCCCUUCGAAUCAGUUUUUCACUUUUUAAAAUGACUUUGUUCUUCAUAUUGGAGAAGAAGUUGGUAUGGAUGUUCAGUAAAAAUUAAACUUGUUCAGCUAAAAAUUUAACUAAAUUGCAACAUAAUUGUAUAAACUUUAUAAAGACGUAUCAUUAAGUCUUUACAUUUGUAGGUAUUCCUUCAACAUCCAAGCUCCUAAGAGACAGCAAACUCCUUCUGUCAUGUCGUGGCAACUAUUUGAAGCAACAAAAGGGAAAGAGAUAGUAAAAAUAACUCAUUCCAGUUGGCAGAGCAUCACUGUAUAGUUCUCAAAGUGCUUGUAUUUAUCAGAAAUAAAGCUGAUACCCUCUUGGCAGCACUAGAUCAAGUUGGUCCAUUUUGAUGCUGACAAGAGGACUGAUGUUCUUGCUUUUCGUGGUCUGUGAGAACACUGUGUACCCUGGACUCACCAGAGUUGAUGUAAUCCAGGUUUGCUGACAUUCUUGAGGCAUGGAAAUUUUUCCUUAUUUUUAUUCCAGCUCCAAAAGUUUACUGAGAGAACAUCCUAGAAGUAGCCUUUCAUGGCGGUAGCCAUCAGUCCUGGCUACUGAUUGAAAUCACUUGUGGAACUUAAAUUGUAGAUGUCCACUGAAGACAGAUGAUUAGAACCUACAGAUGAAUGGAUUAAGAAGAUGUGGUAUAUAUAUACAAUGG
Sus scrofa (pig) is the source of this 1071-nucleotide non-coding RNA. Lineage: Eukaryota; Metazoa; Chordata; Mammalia; Artiodactyla; Suidae. The record is from RefSeq and is a predicted model, not a curated record.